AGGGCACCACCAGGAGUGGAGCCUGCGGCUUAAUUUGACUCAACACGGGAAAACUCACCCGGCCCGGACACUGGAAGGAUUGACAGAUUGAGAGCCCUUUCUUGAUUCAGUGGGUGGUGGUGCAUGGCCGUUCUUAGUUGGUGGAGUGAUUUGUCUGGUUAAUUCCGAUAACGAACGAGACUCUAGCCUAUUAAAUAGAUCGUUGGCUUACAAACGCCGGCGGGACUUCUUAGAGGGACAGGCGGCGAUUCAGCCGCACGAAACAGAGCAAUAACAGGUCUGUGAUGCCCUUAGAUGUCCGGGGCCGCACGCGCGCUACACUGAAGUGAUCAGCGUGCAUUUUGAAACCUACUCUGUCAAGAGUGGGGAACCCAAUGAACCUUCUUCGUGAUUGGGAUAGGGGAUUGUAAUUAUUCCCCUUGAACGAGGAAUUCCCAGUAAGCGCGAAUCAUAAGUUUGCGCUGAUUACGUCCCUGCCCUUUGUACACACCGCCCGUCGCUACUACCGAUUGAAUGUUU
RNAcentral lists this ribosomal RNA (519 nucleotides) under uncultured eukaryote. Its description in RNAcentral is "SSU rRNA". It matches the Rfam family "Eukaryotic small subunit ribosomal RNA", at positions 1161 to 1698 of the family's 1831-position model. The record is from RNAcentral.